AAAAAAAAAGGAAAAAAAAAUUUAAAGAAAAAACAAACACACACCACUUUACUUAUAUUUUUUUAAAGAGAUUUUUGGCUAAAAAACUUCAAAUGCUUCUCAAAUCAAAAGAAUGACCUUUCUCCUUUAUUCUCUAAAAAAAUGAUUGAUUUAGGAUAAAAUUAGUUUUCUUUUUUCUUUUCUUUUUUUCUCAAAACGACAUUUUUUUUCCUCAUUCCCCCAUCAUUUCGUUCUCAUUCUUCCAAUGAAUUUUCCAAGUUAUUUCCUAGUGAGUUUAGGGGUGUAGUUCAAAUCGAAGAAAUGAUAAAAAUCGACCACAAUUCUCUCAUCUUUUUUUCUUCUUCAAGAUCUUUCAUCUUUUUCUUUAUUUUUAGUUAGGGUUUUUUUGUGAUUGUUUUUACCGUGUUUUUCUUUUCUUUUUAUUUGGAGUUAGUUUUUGUUGAGAUUUUGUUGUUUUUUGCAGUAUUCUUCAAGAUCUUUCAUUAUCCUUUAUAUGUGAGUGUGUGUGUUUGGUUAGUGUUUUUUAUGGUUGUUUUAUAUUUUUUUUUAUUGAGAUUUUGUAGUUAUUUUUUGUUAGCAUUUUUUGCAAUUGUAUUGUUGGGAUUUGGUUGUUGUUGUUUUUUUUUUUCAAUGUUCCUCUAGGAUUUUGGUCAGGAUUUUUCUAGUGAGAUUUUUGUUAGGAUUUUUUGAGGUUGUUCUUUAGUGGUAAUUUUUACUAUUUUUUGUUAAUU
This 731-nucleotide long non-coding RNA is filed under the name Vitis vinifera (wine grape). RNAcentral describes it as "long non-coding RNA (VVIN_LNC008035)". The record is from RNAcentral. Lineage: Eukaryota; Viridiplantae; Streptophyta; Magnoliopsida; Vitales; Vitaceae.